RNAcentral lists this long non-coding RNA (5819 nucleotides) under Sus scrofa (pig). RNAcentral's name for it is "lncRNA (ENSSSCG00025030036.1)". Lineage: Eukaryota; Metazoa; Chordata; Mammalia; Artiodactyla; Suidae. The record is from RNAcentral.
CUGUUCAUGAAAGACGAUGGUUAAAUUUUCAAAAAGUCUGUGAGCUGGUUUGUUUAAAUAAAACUUUUAAUAGAAAUAAAAUUAUAUUAAUUUAUAUUAAAAUAUUAAAACUCAUUGCUUACUAUUCAUCACAUUUUAUUAUUCUCUAUGCACUUAAGUUUCUUUACACCUGUUAAGCCUGUGUGUAAUAUCACUUUGGGAGCUUGAUAUUGGCCAUGAUGGGAAUACUUACUAGAAAUCAGCAAAUGUUACAAAUCAGGGCUUUAUUUCUUGUUUGGUUGAUUGUCUAAACAAGUAUUUCUCAACUUUUGUUCUUUAAUUAUUACUACCUCCUCCAAGUAGUCCUUUUAUUUUUGGCCUAUUUUUGGCCUAAUUGUUCCCUCCCCGUGAAAUAUUUAGAUGACAGAUAUAUUACUGCCCAUAUAUCUAUGUAUAUCUAUGCUUUAUACAUGAAAAGGGACAUUUUUUUCUCCAUCCCAAGAGCUAGUUUUUCCUCCCAGGGGGCCAUACCACCCCCUUUGAGAAUGCAGAGUCUAAACUUAAAAAGUGAUAGAAAAAAUGUUAAUAAUGCAGAUUAAACACACACCUCUCAUAUCUGCAGACAUUGUAAGUCACAGAGCAAAUUGAGAAUUAUUCUUCCAUUAUUUGAACACUAUUAUCCAAUUCAAUAAAGAGGGUGUUUAUUUCAUCUACAACCAAGUUUCAAUAUAUUUUUGUUGUUUUACUUUUGUCUUACAUGUUAACAUGCAAGACUUCUGGGAAAAUCAACAAAAGCAUUCUGUGAGAAUAAACUGGCUGUAUGGAAUUUAUAAUAAUGAACAUUUUGUAUUUCACCGUUAUUCUUAAAUUGUGUGUCAUAUGUCCAUUAUAUCAAUAAGGUAUAUAUACAUAUAUAAACACACAUACAUGUACAGAUAUUUUGUCCUAAGAGCUAGCUAUUAAAUAUUUACCAGCACACCACUGUAUAUAACCUACAUUUAAGAUCAAAACAUCAUAAUUUUCUACACCAAAUUGGGGAUAUUCAGACAUUCAGAAGGAAAACAAUCUCUGAACAUGGUUGGAAAGAUUAACCCAGGGAAGGGCGGUUAGGAGAAAUAUUUUAACAUCUAUUUUAGCCUUUUUCACAUUUUCCAAAAGGAAUAUGUAUUCCUUUUAUUGAUACAUUUUUUUCCCAUUAUCUAUCCUCUCCCCAAUCACACACAAGUGCUUAAUGUACUAUCAUAGCAGUGUAAGUGUAUGACUCAGGGAACGCUAAGGAGAAUGGAAGGACCAGUCUGGGGGGAGAAUGAAAAACAGUGGAGAAGAAAAGGGAUAAAGAGGGUCUAAUUAAAAUAAGGGGGAAAAAAGAAUUUAAAAGAUAAAGAACUGAAGCAUCCCAAGUAGGGAUUGUACAAUACCAGAGGAGGGGAGAUCAGCUUACAGUACAACCACUGAAGGAGUCAAAGUAGCAAAUAAAAAUAAAAAUAAACAAGAAAAAAAAGCAAAACAUAGCAGGAGAAGAGUCCAUUCCACCCUUUCCCAUUCCAAAUUAAUUAUUAACAUUGGAAGUAGCUAUCUCUUGGGAGGUGAAAGAUAGCUUGCCAGUGAGUAAAUAGUGGCUUUGUAUUGUUUUAAAUUUGUUAAACUAAUACUAUAUCAGCAGUACCGGCAAAAUGUAUAGUUGUGGUAAAUCACUCUGAAAUAUUCUUACUGACAUUUUCAGAGAUCACAUAUCCCAAUUUAAGCAUGAUGUAGUUGCAAUUCUUAUUCUGGACCCAAAGAGCAUCAGGAGGAAUAUAUAUUCCUCCAGUGUGCAUGAAGGUACACUUUAUGGGCCAUUCUGUAGCACUCAGAUUCUGAGGAAGAAUCAAAGAGCUUUUAGAGACUCUAUUAUAAUCUUGAAGUAGAACAGGAUAUCAUCCUUUUCUAUUGAAAAUUGAAGAGAGCAAUGGGUAAUAUUUUGUCAGGUUCCAGCAAUUAAGUGUAAACUCUCAGGAAACCAAUAUAAUGAUCAGAAAUCAAACUUUAAAAAUCUACAUCUUAAAAUGCAUAUAUUUAAAACCAUCUUUCUUUUUUUUUUCAAUUGUAUUUUUAAAAAAAGCAAGAAGAGUAAAAUCUCACUUUGACCCAAUCAAAAAAAUGAGGUUAAUUUGCCCUCUCCACUCUAUUUCCCAACUAGAAUUUUCAUCUGUAUCCCUGACUUAUCAUUGAGUUCUAAUACUUCAAAAAAAAAAAAAAACAACAAAACUCAGAAUUAACAGUUAAAAGAGGCAAGUUCCAAGACUGGCAUAUUUUAGUCAUAGCAAGAAAUAAUGUUCUUUUGCAUAAGUAAUAUGCCAUGCAAUUCUGACGCAUAUAUCCUAUAGGGGUCUUUAAUCAAAACAUUUAAUUUUUAGAAAACAGAUGGCUCUAGAGCUCCUACCAAUUUCUGUGUGUUAUGAUCAAUCUGAAGCCAGAGACAUUUCCCUUAGCAAGCUGAAAAAACUAGAGAGGAUGUAGAAAGAGAAAGAAUUAGCUAGAGGAAUAAAUCCUGAGACAUUACCAUUUACUGGUCUAAAAAAGUCUGCUCCAUAGCCUCAGAAAGAUUAUCAGUGGUUGGCCCCAAAUGACAUAAAUCAUGUGUGAAAGUAGGUUUUGUACAUGUCUCAAUAGACCCUGCAGUCCAACUGAUCCUCCCAUUUCUGUGCCGGCUGCUGACUGUAAAUCAUCAGCUCUCCAUGUAGCUAGGCUUUGUGGAUGAACUACCAAGCAGUUCUGGCUCUCUCUGGGGCUGUAACAUUCUGCCUUAAGGAGUUGGCAGUAUGACCACAGUCAAAGAAAAACCAGGAUAAAAAAAUUCACACAAAGGAAGUUGCCAUCCACCUACAUGGUUCAAGUCGAUGGCUAAUUACAGUAGGCAAAAGAUCAAAAACUCAAAAAUGCUAUCAAAAAUCCUAACAAUUGCAAGGCAUCCAGAAAACAAAACGAAAUAAAAAAGAACCAUGCACUAAUCUGAGAGCUAACAGAAGUGAUUUAUGUAACACCAUUAGCACAUAUUAAGACUGAAAUAAAAUAGUUCCAACUCCAUAACAAAAAUGGUACAUAUUCUUAUUCCAUCUUUUACAUCAGAACCAAUUGCAAGAAUAAGAGUUAGACUGAGGUUCAAGCAAAAGAACAAUGCAGCAAAGUGCAGUGCGAAAAACAGUCUUUUAGGAGUGGCUCUGAUUAUGAACCCUGGCUCCACCACUUAUUUGACUGUGAACAGGUCACUUAGUCUCUUUGAAUUCCUCUUCCGCAAACUGCAAAUAAUGACAACCUUGAAAAGUCACUGUGAAAAUUUUCCACAUUGUGUGUAAAGCACACAUAAUAUCUGUCACACAGAAUUAUUAUAUGCAAAGUGUCACUGAACGAUAAAAUUUAUCUCUGGGGUUGGCAGUGCCUAACAAUAAUAACAGCUUUCAUUAUUAUGACACUUUAUCAUGUCAAGAGUCAUCUAUCUCCAGCACUUUUUGAAGUAGGCAGGGCAGGAAUUAUGCCCAUUCUAAAGAUGAAGAAAAUGAAGUGCUUUAACAUUUUUGUAAAGCUGUAUGUGUGUGUAUGAGAAAAGUAAGAGUCACAUUAAUGGAUAAUUAUAUUUUAAUGAAGUGGGAAAAUCUCCAACAAUGAUUGAUGUUAUUAAAAAUGAAGAAUGCUGAGAAGUGAAAAAUAUUUUGAACCCUAUAAGCCUUCAACAUUGCUGCUUUUCCACUUCCACAUUCUUAUGAUGGAAUCACUAUUGUUUGAUGAGCCAUUUUAUCCUAAGUGGCACUGUUAAAGAGAUUAAUGAGCCAGGAGACCUGGUGAGUUAAAUUAACAUUUUAAAGUUAAAAUUUAUCCAGAUUAAUAAUAAUUAAACCCACAAAAUAUGCCAGGGCAACACUACCAAAAUUAAUCCUAUCCCAUUGUAAAAAUAAUUCAUUUUGUAUAGUUGAAUUAGUCCUGAGAAGAUCUGUCUUUGAACACUAACUACAGUAAUUGUUUAGCAUUGCAAUUAAUGCUCAGAAAUACUAGUUUAAAGAUUCAAACAGAAUGGAAUGCUAGAUAAAAGUCAUACGACUUAUUAUCAGUCAGAAUUAAAAUGAAUAUACUGAAUGAAUAAAAACAUCUGAGGCAAUAACAAAUUCUUAAAACAUUCAAGCAAUGUAAUUUGCCAUUUUGGAGACUAAACAGUUGGGCAGAUCCUAUUUCAAGUCUGUCCAAUCACUGCAAGGGUUUCCAGGUGUACACAAAUUCUGAAACGUAUUUCCUUCAUUUAGAUUUUGUCUUGUUUUAUGACUGUAUCAGCAUAACUGACCAUAUGCUGCCCUUAAAAUAGCCAAACUCAAUACUUCCAAAGUCUUUUCCUUUUUCCUCCUAGAAGGAAAAUAUUUUGAGGUGGAAAAGAAUCAGCUCAUUAAGGAAAACCACUAUCUCCUUACUCCUUACUUUCUCUUUCCUUGUUCUCUCACUUUGAUUUUGUCAUCACUCUGCCCUCUGCCCUCCAAAUGUGUACUGUCUCCCCUUAAUGUUCUAAACUUGACCAAUCAUGUCCAUUAAGGUAGACCUUUGCUUCCUCUUAGCUUAGACAGACAUGGUUUUAAAAAUGUAUUAAGGAGGGAGCAAAAAUAAACAAAUGCAUAAAAAUCAUCCAAAUAUCAUGUGCUUAUGUUUGGAUUACUGACUUAAGAGUUUAUGCUACCUCAAAAGAGCAGCUGUCUCCUGAACAUCUUUGCACCUUGUUAUAGCAAAAACAUGUGUCAGAUUCCCCAAUUAAAUCCCUUUUAUAGUCUUUCUUCCAAAUCCCGUAGCCUAACCCAUAGGUUAUGUUUGGGGAAUGUUCUAGGUGACCAGUUCUGGCACUAUUCUCCUCUUCUAGUGCCAAUCAUGGUUUAUCUACAGGAGAAAAAUCUUAUCCUCAAAGUGACUCUAUACUAAGAUGCUGUAGAGCAAAUGAAUACAUACAGCAAAUAUCAGAUCCCAAGACAAGAUAUAUACAUAUGUGGAAGUAGACACUGUUAUUCUUACAUCACCAUAGCGGAGGGAAGAGUUCCAAAAUCAAUUAAAUAAGUGUUGUUUUCUUAGAGAGGCAUCCUGCCAAGAAUUAGAGUAAUCCAUUGCUCUAUGUACGAUAUGUGUGGGUGUGAGGAUGGGUUAUGUGUGUGUGUCCAUAGCAAAACUUUAACUUCCUUUCCAACACUUUUCCCAUUUUAUAUAGUAUUUGGAGUAGAAAUGCAGUAAGAAAACUUACUAAUAGAAACUUAGAUUUUAUUUGAAAAGAAGAAGGAAGAACAUAAGGAGAGAGGUUAUUUUGAGAAAAGUGAAAGAGCCCCUGGAGUCAGAAGUCCUCUGUUGGAGCUCUGGUUCCACUAUUUAUUAUGUAUGUGAUUAUACAUGAAACUAUUUAUUUUAAAAGUUCAAAGAUGACUGUCCUAGUCUGAAUCAAAGUCCAUUAACCAGAGGCUCUCUUUUAGAAGCGCUGAAGAAGUGAGGAUUUUGAAGUCACAGACAAUCUAUAUUUAGAAACUAUAAACUCUUGUUCAGACCACUAAAUCUUUGGAGCCUCGGUUACUUUACCUACUAAGCAGAGGAAUGCAACACUUCAGAGUAUUAUAAGGUGAGAUUAGGUACACACACAUUUUCAAGGAAUAAAAGAUCAAUAAAUAUGCAUUGAUUUCUUUUUUUCUUUCCUCCAUUUAACACAUUAGUACAUUUCAAUGAUCUUGUUUUCAUUAAGAAUUGCUCAGUGGGUUAAGGAUCCCGUGUUGUCACUGCUAUGGCUCUGGUUACAGCUGUGGCAUGGGUUCAGUCCCUAGACUGGCCUGGGGACUUCCAUAUGCCCUGGG